RNAcentral lists this small RNA (619 nucleotides) under uncultured Galactomyces. Its description in RNAcentral is "eukaryotic LSU rRNA". The stretch from base 354 to 619 matches the Rfam family "Eukaryotic large subunit ribosomal RNA", at positions 1 to 281 of the family's 3401-position model. Lineage: Eukaryota; Fungi; Ascomycota; Dipodascomycetes; Dipodascales; Dipodascaceae. The record is from RNAcentral.
CUUGGUCAUUUAGAGGAAGUAAAAGUCGUAACAAGGUUUCCGUAGGUGAACCUGCGGAAGGAUCAUUAUGAAUUAAUAAUAUUUGUGAAUUUACCACAACAAACAAAAAUCAUACAAUCAAAACAAAAAUAAUUAAAACUUUUAACAAUGGAUCUCUUGGUUCUCGUAUCGAUGAAGAACGCAGCGAAACGCGAUAUUUCUUGUGAAUUGCAGAAGUGAAUCAUCAGUUUUUGAACGCACAUUGCACUUUGGGGUAUCCCCCAAAGUAUACUUGUUUGAGCGUUGUUUCUCUCUUGGAAUUGCUUUGCUCUUCUAAAAUUUCGAAUCAAAUUCGUUUGAAAAACAACACUAUUCAACCUCAGAUCAAGUAGGAUUACCCGCUGAACUUAAGCAUAUCAAUAAGCGGAGGAAAAGAAACCAACAGGGAUUGCCUUAGUAACGGCGAGUGAAGCGGCAAAAGCUCAAAUUUGAAAUCGGCCACCAGGUCGAGUUGUAAUUUGUAGAUUGUAUCUUGAGAGCGGAUUAAAGUCUGUUGGAACACAGCGCCUUAGAGGGUGACAGCCCCGUAAAAUCUAUUCUCAUUGUAAGAUACUUUCGAAGAGUCGAGUUGUUUGGGAAU